This 253-nucleotide ribosomal RNA is filed under the name uncultured bacterium. RNAcentral describes it as "partial 16S ribosomal RNA". It matches the Rfam family "Bacterial small subunit ribosomal RNA", at positions 524 to 776 of the family's 1533-position model. The record is from RNAcentral.
UACGUAGGGUGCAAGCGUUGUCCGGAAUUAUUGGGCGUAAAGAGCUCGUAGGCGGUCUGUCGCGUCUGCUGUGAAAACUCGGGGCUUAACCCCGGGCCUGCAGUGGGUACGGGCAGACUAGAGUGCGGUAGGGGAGACUGGAAUUCCCGGUGUAGCGGUGAAAUGCGCAGAUAUCGGGAGGAACACCGGUGGCGAAGGCGGUUCUCUGGGCCUGACCUGACGCUGAGGAGCGAAAGCGUGGGGAGCGAACAGG